Molecule: ribosomal RNA, 509 nt
Filed under: uncultured bacterium
Lineage: Bacteria
Description: partial 16S ribosomal RNA
Rfam family: Bacterial small subunit ribosomal RNA
Source: RNAcentral
GACGAACGCUGGCGGCGUGCUUAACACAUGCAAGUCGAACGAAGAGCGAUGGAAGCUUGCUUCUAUCAAUCUUAGUGGCGAACGGGUGAGUAACGCGUAAUCAACCUGCCCUUCAGAGGGGGACAACAGUUGGAAACGACUGCUAAUACCGCAUACGAUCCAAUCUCGGCAUCGGGACUGGGUGAAAGGUGGCCUCUAUUUAUAAGCUAUCACUGAAGGAGGGGAUUGCGUCUGAUUAGCUAGUUGGAGGGGUAACGGCCCACCAAGGCGAUGAUCAGUAGCCGGUCUGAGGGGAUGAACGGCCACAUUGGGACUGGGACACGGCCCAGACUCCUACGGGAGGCAGCAGGGGGGAAUCUUCCGAAAUGGACGAAAGUCUGACGGAGCAACGCCGCGGGGGGGAUGACGGCCUUGGGGUUGUAAAGCUCUGUUAUUCGGGAAGAAUGGUUUUUGGGGGAAAAGGGCGAGGAUUUGCGGGUCCCGGAAUAAAAAGCCACGGCAAACUCCGG